CAGACGAAUAGAUAAAUUGUACAAUAAAGUUGUAAAAGUAAAAAGGAAAACGGCAAUUUGAUGAAGAAUGGGACGAGUCAACCCGAAAUGCCUCCGCCUCCAGCCGUAAUUAAGACUGUAAUUUACCUAAAAUAUUUCUCAGUAGUAGUCAAUAUUAGAUAAACACAGCACUGGUGCUUAUGGACAGGCGCCUGUGGUGAAAACUUCUCGACAGCGCAUCUGAAUCGGGUAGAUACCAGCCGGGAGCCAGGAAUGUCUGAUUUAUCAGCCCCCGAGAGCUCACUGCUGAGAACAUUCUACUUGUUUAUUCGUGUUUUGUAUCAAAAUACUACUACUUAUGGUUACCAUUCUGACGUCAUAGAUUUGGCGCUAUAGCAAAAGGAGGAACAAAACGGGCGAAGAUGUUAUUUGGAUAACUUCAAUGUAGAUGGAAGGUGGAUGACUGGACGGAGAAAUUGCGGGAUAAUUCAUACCUUUUAAAGAAAAAUUGACCUUACAUUUAUUCUAUGUUAAUAAUUCAUUUAUCGAUUUUAGAAAAUAAAACUGCUUCAUCGAA
Molecule: long non-coding RNA, 556 nt
Organism: Ostrea edulis (European flat oyster)
Lineage: Eukaryota; Metazoa; Mollusca; Bivalvia; Ostreida; Ostreidae
Exons: 2
Source: RefSeq, a predicted model, not a curated record